RNAcentral lists this ribosomal RNA (467 nucleotides) under uncultured bacterium. RNAcentral describes it as "partial 16S ribosomal RNA". It matches the Rfam family "Bacterial small subunit ribosomal RNA", at positions 29 to 507 of the family's 1533-position model. The record is from RNAcentral.
ACGAACGCUGGCGGCGUGCUUAACACCUGCAAGUCGAACGGAAAGGCCCUGCUUUUGUGGGGUGCUCGAGUGGCGAACGGGUGAGUAACACGUGAGUAACCUGCCCUUGACUUUGGGAUAACUUCAGGAAACUGGGGCUAAUACCGGAUAGGAGCUCCUGCUGCAUGGUGGGGGUUGGAAAGUUUCGGCGGUUGGGGAUGGACUCGCGGCUUAUCAGCUUGUUGGUGGGGUAGUGGCUUACCAAGGCUUUGACGGGUAGCCGGCCUGAGAGGGUGACCGGCCACAUUGGGACUGAGAUACGGCCCAGACUCCUACGGGAGGCAGCAGUGGGGAAUAUUGCACAAUGGGCGGAAGCCUGAUGCAGCAACGCCGCGUGCGGGAUGACGGCCUUCGGGUUGUAAACCGCUUUCGCCUGUGACGAAGCGUGAGUGACGGUAAUGGGUAAAGAGGCACCGGCUAACUACGUG